Molecule: non-coding RNA, 23 nt
Filed under: Arabidopsis thaliana (thale cress)
Lineage: Eukaryota; Viridiplantae; Streptophyta; Magnoliopsida; Brassicales; Brassicaceae
Source: RNAcentral
AGUGGCAGCCAUUGUAAAUAAGU